UGACUUGAGGAUGCUGGCAUCAAAGCAC
This 28-nucleotide non-coding RNA is filed under the name Bombyx mori (domestic silkworm). RNAcentral also lists the same sequence under 1 other name. The record is from RNAcentral. Lineage: Eukaryota; Metazoa; Arthropoda; Insecta; Lepidoptera; Bombycidae.